AAUAGAUACCCGGGUAGUCCACACCGUAAACGAUGAGUGCUAAGUGUUGGGGGGUUUCCGCCCCUCAGUGCUGCAGCUAACGCAUUAAGCACUCCGCCUGGGGAGUACGGUCGCAAGACUGAAACUCAAAGGAAUUGACGGGGGCCCGCACAAGCGGUGGAGCAUGUGGUUUAAUUCGAAGCAACGCGAAGAACCUUACCAGGUCUUGACAUCCCGGUGACCACUAUGGAGACAUAGUUUCCCCUUCGGGGGCAACGGUGACAGGUGGUGCAUGGUUGUCGUCAGCUCGUGUCGUGAGAUGUUGGGUUAAGUCCCGCAACGAGCGCAACCCUUAUUCUUAGUUGCCAUCAUUCAGUUGGGCACUCUAAGGAGACUGCCGGUGAUAAACCGGAGGAAGGUGGGGAUGACGUCAAAUCAUCAUGCCCCUUAUGACCUAGGCUACACACGUGCUACAAUGGACGGUACAAACGGUUGCCAACCCGCGAGGGGAGCUAAUCCGAUAAAACCGUUCUCAGUUCGGAUUGUAGGCUGCAACUCGCCUACAUGAAC
Molecule: ribosomal RNA, 549 nt
Filed under: uncultured bacterium
Lineage: Bacteria
Description: bacterial SSU rRNA
Rfam family: Bacterial small subunit ribosomal RNA
Source: RNAcentral